Non-coding RNA from Lolium perenne, 1749 nucleotides. The record is from RefSeq and is a predicted model, not a curated record. NCBI's taxonomy places the organism in Eukaryota, Viridiplantae, Streptophyta, Magnoliopsida, Poales, Poaceae.
CGCGCGAACCCGCUUUUUCUCCACGGGUCGAUGAAGCCCACUCGGCCCGGUGUUGGCGCGUCAUGCCCUAUCCCAAUCCUCCCCAAUCCAGCAGCCGCCGCGUCUCCCGCUCCCGCAGCCGUCGCUCCCGCUCCCCGCCGGUCGCUCCCGCUCCCCGCCGUCGGUCUCCUCGCCCGCCCUCGUCCCCGUCGCUGCACGCCGCCGCGCUAUGGGAGGAGCGGCUCGGCUGGGCAGGAACUUGUGUGUGGCGGCGCCUCUCCCGUCUCCAAUCCCGUCACUCCUCCUCCUCCUCCCCCAAUCCCGUCGCUCCUCCCUUGUCGGUCUCCACGUCGUUCUCCUCUCCGCCUCCCUGGACAACCACCGGCCAGCAGGAGCUGCGCAGCGCUAGCACAGGCAAGAGGGGCUGCUGGAGCUCCGCCCCCGACGGCGAUGGCGGACCGCCGCCCGCUCCGCCGCCCCUCUCCACCUAUUGUCGCUGCAGCUCGCUCCUCCGGCCGCCCUUCGGCCGUCGUCGUCGCCAGAUAUUCCUAUAGGUUCUUCCCCGUCUCUCUUGCCUCUGACUACUUUCCUGUCUUUUUCUCUCAUGGGAUCCCCAUAUUCCUACAGCCACCAGAGGGUACCACUGGUCAUCAAAGAACGAUUUGGUGCAGUGUUGAUAAGAAAACUGGACCAGUAAGGAUGCAAAUCCAUGUGAUGAGGACUGAUGAUUGCGGAACAUCGGCAAGUCCACAGGUCUCGGUGGACGGGCCUCGCCGGUUUCGUUAAGGAGAGCUGACAAGAAGAAGGUUGCGACAUGUUUUUUUUAUCUGCAUUUAUGUAGCACAGGCAGGAGGACCGUGGAAUCAGCUCGAGCUGCUGUGUUUGGGGCCUCUGAUGUGCUGCUGCCACCCGGAGUCGACUUGCUGCUCAAAGCCAAUGCCCAAAAAGCGUUUUUAGAAGGAGAAGGAUCAUCCAAAAAAUGGAUGUACUAAAGUGGAUUCCGUGGUUCAGCAAAACUGAUGCCCUUGCUGGAUAUGCAUUCAUUGAUGGAUCUUACAUGAUGUCCUGGCUAGAUAGCUGAGAUUGAUUGUGCUUGAAUUGAAGAGUGAUGCCUUGAAGCUAGAUGGUAUCUGGUCUACAUCUAUUUUCCAGAUUAUCCCAAGCUAUUGCUUUUAUCCUCGAACUUGACUUAGCAUUAAUUCAGUUGGAAGAACAAAAUGGCCAGGGACAAACAAUAUAAAGGUUCUGUUGUGCUUGCUUAGCUGACUAAAAUUCUGGAAAACUAGAGUGUAUAAUCUACAGAACCUGUCUCUCUAAGAGGACCAAGAAGAUGGUAAUGGCGAGUAAGAAGAUUAUUUACGAAGAAACAACAAAAAAUCAUAUUCUUAUACAUUUGGAGAAAAAGAGGAAGCAUUACUUAUGUUAGAUGAAACACCGAGGUUCAUGAGUAGUUUUUUUUUGUAUUGAACUUGAAUUAACCUCAUAUUUGGUUGACACAAAUAACUUCUGGUUAUUUUUUCAUUUUGUUUGCAGUAGAGCUAGCUCUUGGUGAUGCAAGUUUCUUGCGGCCUUCUUUUGCUCUCCAUGCAGAUAGAAUUCAUCCGAGCUACUUCCCUGUGCUCACAUGUUUUUCUACCAUUAGCUAUGCUUGGAGGAUCCUGCUAGCAGUUAGACCUUGGCUAGAUUUCCAUAGAAUGUACACAACAAUUUUAUCGGCUAUGUUAUACAACAGGCUUAGAAGAAUAUUAAUAUUAGCUUAACCAGUACCUA